ACAGAAACAGAGAGGUUAGACGGUACUGUGGGUCAGGUAGGUUGAGAAGACAGAAACAGAGAGGUUAGACGGUACUGUGGGUCAGGUGGGUUGAGAAGACAGAGAGGUUAGACGGUACUGUGGGUCAGGUAGGUAGAGAAGACAGAGAGGUUAGACGGUACUGUGGAUCAGGUAGGUUGAGAAGACAGAGAGGUUAGACGGUACUGUGGAUCAGGUAGGUUGAGAAGACAGAGAGGUUAGACGGUACUGUGGGUCAGGUAGGUUGAGAAGACAGAAACAGAGAGGUUAGAC
Molecule: long non-coding RNA, 291 nt
Organism: Oncorhynchus keta (chum salmon)
Lineage: Eukaryota; Metazoa; Chordata; Actinopteri; Salmoniformes; Salmonidae
Exons: 3
Source: RefSeq, a predicted model, not a curated record